RNAcentral lists this unclassified non-coding RNA (300 nucleotides) under Syncephalis sp. RNAcentral describes it as "partial contains small subunit ribosomal RNA and internal transcribed spacer 1". The stretch from base 1 to 46 matches the Rfam family "Eukaryotic small subunit ribosomal RNA", at positions 1786 to 1831 of the family's 1831-position model. Lineage: Eukaryota; Fungi; Zoopagomycota; Zoopagomycetes; Zoopagales; Piptocephalidaceae. The record is from RNAcentral.
AAGUCGUAACAAGGUAUCCGUAGGUGAACCUGCGGAUGGAUCAUUAACGUGUAACAAGAAUAGUGACUGAAAGGUCGCUAUUCUUAUUAACUCUGUUAUACCCUUGUGGUUCUAUAGGAAACUAGAUGUGAUUGUGGUGGUUGAGGCUGGUUAAACAGCCAUAGACGCCACGAUCCUCUUCUUAACUAAAAACAUUAUCAUUACAUUAUUAAUCUAAAGUAACCUUGUGGAAUUGGAUAGAUUCGUCUAGACAAUCACCAAGUAAAACAAUAAUAAUCUAAUACAACUGCUAGCAACGGA